RNAcentral lists this long non-coding RNA (219 nucleotides) under Gossypium barbadense (sea-island cotton). RNAcentral's name for it is "long non-coding RNA (GBAR_LNC012510)". The record is from RNAcentral. Lineage: Eukaryota; Viridiplantae; Streptophyta; Magnoliopsida; Malvales; Malvaceae.
UCGGUUUAGUUUAAUUGAAUUAUGUAUAUUAUUGAAAUGUUUUAUUUUCUUAUGACUUACUAAUCUAUUUAAGCUUACUCUAUGUGUGUUCUUUUGUUAUUUUAUAGAUUUUGAAAGCUAGUUACGAGCUCAGGGAUCGUCAAGGAAAUCCGUCACACUAUUGUUCAUUAUUUCGGUAUUUUAAAAGUUUGAACUUUGAACUUAUGGAAUGUGUCACAG